UGGUGGAGCGAUUUGUCUGGUCAAUUCCGAUAACGAACGAGACUCUAGCCUACUAAAUAGUUCGGGGACCCCCACAAAGGGGCCCCGCUUCAACUUCUUAGAGGGACAGGUGGCGCUUAGCCACACGAGAUUGAGCAAUAAC
RNAcentral lists this ribosomal RNA (142 nucleotides) under uncultured eukaryote. RNAcentral describes it as "partial 18S ribosomal RNA". It matches the Rfam family "Eukaryotic small subunit ribosomal RNA", at positions 1299 to 1457 of the family's 1831-position model. The record is from RNAcentral.